Long non-coding RNA from Setaria italica (foxtail millet), 2055 nucleotides. RefSeq lists it as uncharacterized. The record is from RefSeq and is a predicted model, not a curated record. Lineage: Eukaryota; Viridiplantae; Streptophyta; Magnoliopsida; Poales; Poaceae. The transcript has 2 exons.
CAUGCUGGACCCUCCUCGCUCGCUGCGCUCACCCUCGCUCUGCUCAAGCGACACAACCGCUCGCUGCUACCGUGCACCACGCGCGCUCGCCCCUCCUCGCUCCACUCGCAAAAAACCCGCCAAGCUCACUCACGCCUUGCCACUCGGCACCACGUCGUGCCGCCCCUUGCCGUGUCCCCACCUCAACCACGCCGCUACCACCUCGUCGCACGCGCCGUCAACGCCGCGUCGCCCCAGCGCCACCACCGCAGCAAGCCGAUGCUCGCAAUCUGCCGCCCGGCCACAACGUCGCCAUUCAUGGCGAGCAGGUGAGCCACUGGCACAGCUCCGCCCUCGCCGCCUAUAAAAGCCACCCUGAGCUGCUCUCCGACGCUAUCCCGAGCUCGCCGAGCCGCCCAGCUGUGCCUCCCACCUUCUCCCUCCCUAAAUCAAGCUAUUUGCUCCUCCACACAAGAACAGGGCGCUGCCUCGAUCUCCCUCUCCAAGCUGCCCCUGCCCGAGCUGAUGGAGUAACCGAGGAGGAGAACCAGUUUGGAGGCUGGUAUCGCAAGCCAGAGCCAGAAGACCUGUAUCGCGAGCAGGAGCUUUCAGAAGGCUUUGGAGAUGGCAAGUCGAAUCUCAUGCUUUCAUGCAUAUUUAUCCUAGUUUUUCAGACAUAACCUAUUGGCCAUUUUUAUAAAUUGCAUAUAUUGUUUUAUUGCUUAGAUGAAACCUGGUUGGAUAGCCACCCCUUGAUUGCUAUGGUUGUUCCUUGAUGACUUAGGAUUAUCUCUAAAUAUGAUAUGCUCUGUUUGGAUGAUAAUUGUCGCUAGAAUGCUUAGAAUCUUGUUAAUCACUUUAUUACAAUUCAAUCAUGGUUACAUUGUAUUUUAUCAAUGAAUAAAUGCGUUGAGUGUUUUAAGGAAAAUAAAUGAAUUUUAGGGAAGGGAUAAAAGAAAGUGGUUAGACGAGACGGACGAGUGUUUCUUAUAUGAAAUAUCAGUCGGGCUCGUACCUUAGUGGUUGAGCAGGUUGGGAGGUAUCCAUCUUAUCAUGUUUAAGAACCGAGUUGAUGUGUCAUCUUGCUAACCUAAACUACUAUGCAACCACUCGACCUUUGUAUGAGGCAAAAGCUAGCAUAAAUCCCACUAGCAAGUCUAUUAAUCAUAAGUGUGCUGGUUGAGCAAUGGAAGAACAUGGAGAAGGAGUAAGCAUGUGUAGGCUUAGGUCCCGGUUAAGGUCUUGUUGGUAGGUCCUUAACCCCAUGGUUGCUUCCAUAAUGGUUAAUCGGGUCUUAGCUAAGGUGGGUAAUGGCUUUGCUAGGAUCCGCGCCAAUACUAAGGUGUUUGUGUCACGGUACCCUACUUGUGGGUAAAGUGUACCCCUCUGCAGAGUUAAAAUCUAUUCGGAUAGCCGUGUCCACGGUAUCGAACGAGUUACGGUUUGCGCACAUAACUAGCUUUUACAAAAUUGAUGGGUUUCUUAGCUUGAGUAUAAAUUUCAGAAAGUGUUCAGCAGUUAUGCCGUGUGCUACCGCGGAUGGGGGGUUCGAUAGUAUUAAAACUUGGAUCCUUGUGUAGGAUCAGCCCCAUUCAAUUAAUUCGGUUUAUUAAUAAUGUUUUGUGAAAAGCCCUUUAAAAACGAAACCAUGCAUGGGGUAAAUCUAGCUUUAUCGCAAAUGAAUCCCUCCAUGAUCCUUGUUAUACCUUAUGCAUAUUCUUGUUAUCCCUCUACGUGGGUGUGGUUGGACUUUUUGAAUACUUUUACACUCACCUUGCUUUGUUGGAUUAAAGGAAGAUCCGAACUUCGCUGCCGGUGAAGACUUCGAGUAGAAGGUUGCUUUCGCACCCGACGUGCCCAUGGCGUUGGGCUUUAGCAAGAUGCUUCCGCUGCCGUGUGUGCUGGGUGUUUCUAGUGUUCGUUUGUAUGGUCAACUUAGUGUGUUUACGUUGCUUCAUAUCUGGGCAUAUCUUUCUCGCCCGUUAGUCCGUGCAAACGAGGGUGCUUCAAUUUCAAUUUCAGAGGCUGAUUGUAUAUACAAUCUUUUACAACCCAUUACAAUGAGUAUUUUUCUAA